Molecule: ribosomal RNA, 122 nt
Filed under: Chinchilla lanigera (long-tailed chinchilla)
Lineage: Eukaryota; Metazoa; Chordata; Mammalia; Rodentia; Chinchillidae
Source: RNAcentral
AAAUGCCUCUAUAGCCCCUACACCUGCCUGAUCUCAUCUGACUUCAGAAGGUAAGAAGGACUGUACCUACUUGGUGCUUGGAUGGGAGAAUGCCUAGAAAUACUGGGUACUGUAAGCUUUUC